AUGGAAGAUGGCGCAUCUUCGGGUGCGGCAGAGAUGGUUCUGGCAGCAAUGAUGGAAGAGCUUGGCUUGAGGGAAGACGAUAUGCAAGAUGUAGUGGUGGAGGACGAUGAACUUCCGGUAGAGGCGACUCGUUGGAUGGCCCUGGCUAGGGUUCACACUGAGAAGCCUUAUAGCCAGUACUGGUUCUACAAGAACAUGAGGGUUGCAUGGGAUUUGGCGAAGGAAGUGAAAAUCAGACCGCUGGAGGAGAACCUAUAUACGCUGCAGUUCUCGUGCCUCGGUGAUUGGGAACGUGUUAUGGAAGAGGGCCCGUGGACUUUCAAAUGGAAAGCGGUGGUCUUGGCCCCCUAUGAUGGUUUCACUAAACCCUCGACGAUAGAUUUCACCAAGCUAGACAUAUGGAUGCAAAUUCACGAUCUCCCAGAUGGUUUCUUCCCCAAGAUUAUGGCACUUUCGGCAACAGUUGCUGAGUUCAUCUAUGCUGAGCCCAAGUCCAAGAUUUUGAGGGGAACUUUGCCCGUGUCAGGGUAA
This 531-nucleotide ribosomal RNA is filed under the name Triticum aestivum (bread wheat). Its description in RNAcentral is "partial small subunit ribosomal RNA". Lineage: Eukaryota; Viridiplantae; Streptophyta; Magnoliopsida; Poales; Poaceae. The record is from RNAcentral.